This 253-nucleotide long non-coding RNA is filed under the name Elaeis guineensis (African oil palm). RNAcentral describes it as "long non-coding RNA (EGUI_LNC072481)". The record is from RNAcentral. Lineage: Eukaryota; Viridiplantae; Streptophyta; Magnoliopsida; Arecales; Arecaceae.
AAUUAUUUAAUCAAUGAAAUCAGAUUCUUCUUUAUAGAGAGCUCCUUUGUCUUACUCUGCAUUCUUUUUUCUCUCUUUUGUUUUCUUGCACUGAUUUAUGUUGUGGUGCUCUUGUCUCCCAACGACAGUGCCCUGCCGAAGCUCUUCCCCUACCACAGGAGAUUCUUUUGAAGUCGAUGAUUCGAGACCUCAAAAGGAAAGUUCGUCACCUGAUGAAGAAAUCAAAGAAGCUGGAUGACGAACUUCACCAGCU